CUCGUAGGCGGUUCGUCGCGUCCGGUGUGAAAGUCCAUCGCUUAACGGUGGAUCCGCGCCGGGUACGGGCGGGCUUGAGUGCGGUAGGGGAGACUGGAAUUCCCGGUGUAACGGUGGAAUGUGUAGAUAUCGGGAAGAACACCAAUGGCGAAGGCAAGUCUCUGGGCCGUCACUGACGCUGAGGAGCGAAAGCGUGGGGAGCGAACA
RNAcentral lists this ribosomal RNA (207 nucleotides) under uncultured bacterium. RNAcentral's name for it is "partial 16S ribosomal RNA". It matches the Rfam family "Bacterial small subunit ribosomal RNA", at positions 568 to 774 of the family's 1533-position model. The record is from RNAcentral.